UGAUCCUGGCUCAGGAUGAACGCUAGCGGCAGGCCUAAUACAUGCAAGUCGAACGAGAUUCAAGACUUCGGUUUUGAUGAAAGUGGCGCACGGGUGCGUAACGCGUAUGCAACCUACCCUUAACUGGGGGAUAGCCCGGAGAAAUUCGGAUUAAUACCCCAUAGUAUCACAAGAUGGCAUCUGAAAGUGAUUAAAGAUUUAUUGGUUAAGGAUGGGCAUGCGUGACAUUAGAUAGUUGGUGAGGUAACGGCUCACCAAGUCUACGAUGUCUAGGGGUUCUGAGAGGAUGAUCCCCCACACUGGUACUGAGAUACGGACCAGACUCCUACGGGAGGCAGCAG
This 341-nucleotide ribosomal RNA is filed under the name Bigelowiella longifila. Its description in RNAcentral is "partial Bacterial small subunit ribosomal RNA". It matches the Rfam family "Bacterial small subunit ribosomal RNA", at positions 14 to 354 of the family's 1533-position model. The record is from RNAcentral. Lineage: Eukaryota; Cercozoa; Chlorarachniophyceae.